Long non-coding RNA from Pyrus x bretschneideri (Chinese white pear), 976 nucleotides. RefSeq lists it as uncharacterized. The transcript has 2 exons. The record is from RefSeq and is a predicted model, not a curated record. NCBI's taxonomy places the organism in Eukaryota, Viridiplantae, Streptophyta, Magnoliopsida, Rosales, Rosaceae.
GUCAUUUUUGACCAAGUUGACCUUGUCUACCGUUCUGGUGCUUAUUAGAUUGACUUGUUCUAAUAGUACCAAGGAUGAUCCAAUCUCCAUUUUUUAGUCAUUCUCAUCGCGUUGAUUAGACUGUUUAGACUAGAGGUCUGCGGCUUGAUCUGGUUCUAUCUGCUUUCUUGAAUCCACUAUUCUCUGAUCGAAGAUCCGAUCUUCAGUACUUCAUCUGUUUUGGUUCAAUGAUCUAAAAACUACGGUCUCAUAAUCUUUUAACCGCCCCAUUCUACUAUAAGUAGGGCUUGCAUUUAUCUAUUCAUCUCAUACUAGAAAAUGAGCAGCAGGAUUGAGUUUGGUGGAAAAGUAUGCAAACGGUGGAGUUUUUGAGUGGUUCCAGUUGGAGUCAAUUCACAAGAGAUUGAAGAUGAUCAUUUCAAGUUUUCAGCUCAAAAUUCCCAGCCAAUCGUUCCCAGUUUAAGAACGAAGACAGGUUAGUGUGCUGACAGAACAGUUUCGAUAUCUGAAGGUUGCAUGAGAGAUAAGUACAUAAUUAAACCCUAAAUUGAGAAAACCUCCUUCCUAGCUUUUUGAAGUAGACGUUUCAAGCUUUCUAAGGACAUCUCAGUCAUUGAAAUCUAUGGACUUUUGGUCUACUAAACAUAUGGAGGCAGGGCACUUUCUGUUUGCCCAUUUAAAUUAUAAGUCAAUUUUAAUUGACAUUUAUUUUGUGUCUCUUGAUCUGAUCCGGAGUGUGGAUGAUUGGAGUCUCUUUUAAGUAUGCAUUAGGGGGAUUUAAAUAGGAGGGUGAUAAUAAUAAAAGAUGGGGGCUGUUUUCCAGAGGAGGAGAUUAGAGAACUCAGGAAGAAUUCUUGUAAAAAAGGGUUGUUCUCUUUCUUUGAUUCUUCAUGGAUAAUUCCUUAUGUAUUCAGACAAGUAUGUAUAACUAAUUUCCUAUUGAUAGAGUGAGGUCCUGAGCCUCAACAUGAUCACA